ACCAUUAUUUAACCAGGUGUGUGUGUGUGUGUACCUGUGUCUGGCUGAGUACAGACUGAGGCCAGGCUGAAGAGAGAAAAUAUGAUGAAGGCGAUGAUGAUGAAGGUCAACUCCAGACCAGAGAACGGCAGCUCCAUCUAUACAAAUCCACAUAUUAAUUUGACAGGAACUAUAAUGGUAGAUAGUGUUGGAGCACAAGCAUUUCCCUACUCUACUUAUUAACCAUCAGCAAUAUCCCCAGUUACUAUGACAAUAACAUCUGAUUAAUAUGUGACCGAUUUGAUUUGGUAAUACCAUGAUUAACCACACAAUGUUACAAUAUCCCAAGUUGUUGCUGGGAAGCAGGUAGCCUGCCGGGUAGGAGCAUUGGGACGCUAACCGAAUGGUUGCCGGAUUGAAUCCCAGAGCCAACAAGGUAAAAAUGUGUCAGGAAGAAACAUUUCAGUUAAGUGCAUUCAGUUGAACAACUAACUAGGCAUCUCCCCCCUUUCCCUAAAUGCCUUGUGCAUCUCUGAGGAUGGCUGUAGUACUGUUGAUGACCACUAGGUGGUACCAAUACCCUGUAUCUCUCUGAGGGUGUAGUCCUGUUUAUGGCCACUAGGUGGUACCAAUACCCUGUAUCUCUCUGAGGGUGGCUGUCGUACUGUUGGUGACUACUAGGUGGUACCAAUACCCUGUAUCUCUCUGAGGGUGUAGUACUGUUGAUGACCACUAGGUGGUACCAAUACCCUGUAUCUCUCUGAGGGUGUAGUACUGUUGAUGACCACUAGGUGGUACCAAUACCAUAUUUUAUCCCUUCAUGGAGACAUUGGCUGUGUCCGAAUACCUGUACGUGGGUCCUAAGGAGCCUUUUGGACCCAGACUUGGCACUCCAGUACCACUUCCCGAGUGGUAGCAGAGAGAACAGUCUAUGACUGGGGUGGCUGGAGUUUUUGACAAUAUUUAGGGCCUUCCUCUGACAUUGCCUAGUAUAGAGGUCCUGGAUGGCAGGAAGCUUGGGCCCAGUAAUGUACUGGACCGUAUGCACUACCCUCUGUAGCGCCUUGCGGUCGGAUGCUGAGCGGUUGCCAUACUGUACCAGUCAGGAUGCUCUCGAUGGUACAGUUGUAUAACCUUUUGAGGAUCUGAGAACCCAUGCCAAAUCUUUUCAGUCUCCUGAGGGGGAAAAGGUGUUGUCAUGCCCUCUUCACAACUAUCUUGGUGUGUUUGGACCAUAAUAGUUUGUUGGUGAUGUGGACAUCAAGGAGUCGUGGGUGAACAGGGUUUAUAGGAGGGGACUAAGCACGCUCCCCUCUGGGGCCCCCGUGUUGAGGAUCAGCGUGACAGAUGUGUUGCUGCCUACCCUUAGCACCUGGAGGUGGCCCAUCAGAAAGUCCAGGAUCCAUUGCAGAGGGAGGUAUUGGGUCUCAAGGUCCUUAGUGCCCUCAAAGCUCAUCACUAAGCUAUGGUAUUAAACGCUGAGCUGUAGUCAAUCAGAGCCGGUGUAGUAGGAUUCAAUCUUAGUCCAUUUACGCCUUGCCUGUUUGAUGGUUCGUCAGAGGGCAUAGUGGGAUUUUUUAUAAAUAUCCAAAGUUGUGUCCCGCUCCUUGAAAGCGGCAGCCUUUAGCUCAGUGUGGAUGUGUCCUGUAAUUCAUGGCUUCUGGUUGGGAUAUGUACGUACGGUCACUGUGUGGACGACGUCAUCGAUGCACUUAUUGAUGAAGCCAGUUUGCAAAACAGUCCUGUAGCUUAGCAUCUGUGUCAUCUGACUAUUUCUGUAUUGAGCGAGUCACUGGUACUUCCUGCUUUAGUUUUUGCUUGUAAGCAGGAAUCAGGAGGACAUAAUUAUGGUCAGAUUUGCCAAAUGGAGGGCGAGGGAGAGCUUUAUAUGCAUCGCUGUGUGUGGAGUAAAGGUGGUCUAGUGUUAUUUUUUCUCUGGUUGCACGUGACAUGCUGGUAGAAAUGAGGUCAAACGGAUUUAAGUUUUCCUGCAUUAAAGUCCCCGGCCACUAGGAGCGCCGCUUCUGGAUGAGCAUGUUCUUCUUUGCUUAUGGCCUUAAACAGCUGGCUGAAUGCGGUCUUAGUGCCAGCAUCGGUUUGUGGUGGUAAAUAGACGGCUACGAAAAUAUAGAUGAAAACUCUCUUGGUAGAUAGUGUGGUCCACAACUUAUCAUGAGGUACUCUACCUCAGGCCAGCAAAACCUUGAGACUUCCUUAAUAGAUUGCGCACCAGCUGUUGUUGACAAAUAGAGACAGACCACCACCUCUCGUCUUAGGUAGCUGUUCUGUCUGUCCCUCUCCAUCUCCCUGACCGCCUUCCUCUGAUCAAGACAUCAACUGUCCCUCUCCAUCUCCCUGACCACCUUCCUCUGAUCAAGACAUCAACUGUCCCUCUCCAUCUCCCUGACCACCUUCCUCUGAUCAAGACAUCAACUGUCCCUCUCCAUCUCCCUGACCGCCUUCCUCUGAUCAAGACAUCAACUGUCCCUCUCCAUCUCCCUGACCGACUUCCUCUGAUCAAGACAUGAACCUUCCCUCUGCUGGGUUUUCCACCCUCAACAGUUUCCCGUGUGUAUCAAGAAUGGUCCAUCACCCAAAGGACAUCCAGCCAACUUGACACAACUUUGGGAAGCUUUGGAGUCAACAUGCGCAGCCAUCUCUGUGGAACACCUUCUGAGGACAAAACUAAAUAUUAGGAAGUUGUUCCUAAAGUUUUGUCCACCCAGUGUAUAUCCACUAUAACCCCUGAUCUACUGUACUGUGGUCAACUUUCAUUAAAUUCCUAUAUCUAACCACUGAAUGGAUAUCUAACCACUGAAUGGAUAUCUAACCACUGAAUGGAUAUCUAACCACUGAAUGGGUAUCUAACCACUGAAUGGAUAUCUAACCACUGAAUGGAUAUCUAACCACUGAAUGGGUAUCUAACCACUGAAUGGGUAUCUAACCACUGAAUGGGAUAUCUAACCACUGAAUGGGUAUCUAACCGCUGAAUGGGUAUCUAACCACUG
Molecule: long non-coding RNA, 2987 nt
Organism: Oncorhynchus tshawytscha (Chinook salmon)
Lineage: Eukaryota; Metazoa; Chordata; Actinopteri; Salmoniformes; Salmonidae
Source: Ensembl